AGCUGAGUUUGAUCCUGGCUCAGAUUGAACGCUGGCGGUAUGCCUUACACAUGCAAGUCGAACGGUAGAGGGGCAACCCUUGAGAGUGGCGAACGGGUGAGUAAUACAUCGGAACGUGCCCAGUCGUGGGGGAUAACGUAGCGAAAGCUACGCUAAUACCGCAUACGACCCGAGGGUGAAAGCGGGGGACUCGCAAGAGCCUCGCGCGAUUGGAGCGGCCGAUGGCAGAUUAGGUAGUUGGUGGGGUAAAGGCUCACCAAGCCAACGAUCUGUAGCUGGUCUGAGAGGACGAUCAGACACACUGGAACUGAGACACGGUCCAGACUCCUACGGGGAGCAGCAGUAGGGAAUUUUGGACAAUGGGCGAAAGCCUGAUCCAGCCCAUUCCCGCGUGCAGGAUGAAGGCCCUCGGGUUGUAAACUGCUUUUAUACAGGGAAGAAACGACUCUUGCGAGAGGCAUUGACGGUACUGUAUGAAU
Molecule: ribosomal RNA, 479 nt
Filed under: uncultured Sphaerotilus sp.
Lineage: Bacteria; Pseudomonadati; Pseudomonadota; Betaproteobacteria; Burkholderiales; Sphaerotilaceae
Description: bacterial SSU rRNA
Rfam family: Bacterial small subunit ribosomal RNA
Source: RNAcentral